UGCUCCCUCCGUUUCAAAAUGUUUGACACCGUUGACUUUUUAGUACGUGUUUGACCAUUCGUUUUAUUCAAAAAAUUUAAGUAAUUAUUUAUUCUUUUCAUAUCAUUUGAUUCAUUGUUAAAUAUACUUUCAUGUACACAUAUAAUUUUACUUAUUUCAUAAAUUUUUUUGAAUAAGACGAACGGUCAAACAUGUGCUAAAAAGUCAACUGUGUCAAACAUUUUGAAACGGAGGGAGUA
RNAcentral lists this microRNA precursor (239 nucleotides) under Oryza sativa Japonica Group (Japanese rice). RNAcentral's name for it is "osa-MIR806g". The record is from RNAcentral. Lineage: Eukaryota; Viridiplantae; Streptophyta; Magnoliopsida; Poales; Poaceae.